GCCUGGGUGGCUCAGUUGGUUGAGCGGCGGACUUCAGCUCAGGUCACCAUCUCGCAGUCCGUGAGUUCGAGCCCCGCAUCAGGCU
Molecule: transfer RNA, 85 nt
Filed under: Felis catus (domestic cat)
Lineage: Eukaryota; Metazoa; Chordata; Mammalia; Carnivora; Felidae
Rfam family: tRNA
About the family: Transfer RNA (tRNA) molecules are approximately 80 nucleotides in length. Their secondary structure includes four short double-helical elements and three loops (D, anti-codon, and T loops). Further hydrogen bonds mediate the characteristic L-shaped molecular structure. tRNAs have two regions of fundamental functional importance: the anti-codon, which is responsible for specific mRNA codon recognition, and the 3' end, to which the tRNAs corresponding amino acid is attached (by aminoacyl-tRNA synthetases). tRNAs cope with the degeneracy of the genetic code in two manners: having more than one tRNA (with a specific anti-codon) for a particular amino acid; and 'wobble' base-pairing, i.e. permitting non-standard base-pairing at the 3rd anti-codon position.
Source: Rfam by way of RNAcentral